GUGCUUGCUUUGACAGCACAUAUACUAAAAUUGGAAUGAUACAGAGAAGAUAAGCAUGGUCCCGUGCAAGGAUGACAUGCAAAUUCUUGAAGUGUUUCAUAUAUUU
Molecule: small nuclear RNA, 106 nt
Organism: Artibeus jamaicensis (Jamaican fruit-eating bat)
Lineage: Eukaryota; Metazoa; Chordata; Mammalia; Chiroptera; Phyllostomidae
Source: RefSeq, a predicted model, not a curated record